CGGGCGGGCGGCGUCGGCGCACUGCCCUCCCCGGAGACAGCGGAGCGUUUCAGCGGCCGCCGGGAACUUGCUGACUCUUCACAUUGCGACUGGCAAGAGUGAACAGUUACCUGACAAAACCAAGGACUUCCUGCAUAUGAAAGAUCUUCUACAUAAACAUCCACAAAUGAGAAUCAUAUGCAAUUUCUGCCAGCCCAAAUGGGCCCCUCCAUGCCAAGGAAACUGGUGAACAACCUCCAGCGAAGUGUCCAAGGAGAUGAGCCAUGGAGCACCUACACAGCAGGUGUGGGUGCAGUAACCUGCUGCUGGAUGGUGACAAGCAAUGAGACACUGUAUCUUCAUCAGUUCCAGCUAUGUCAGGAAGGAAACAUAAUCUGCUGCCCUGCUGAUAAUGCUAAGUGGGUAACCCCCCUGUGUAAACAUAUUUAUAGCACUCUAAAGGAUGUUUUCCCACCAACGUGAUAUUCCUAUAAAUUUAUCUCUAAUACCAUUUUAUCUAAUACCAAUUUUAUCUUAAUCUACAGCAUGAAGUAGUGUUGCAUCCUGAGCCAAUAUAUAAGCAUUAAACAUGAGUAUCUUAUCUCUAUUUAUAAUCUCACAAAGCUGUUUUAAUUUAAUCUUAUCUAAUUACACUGCAAUGUAAAAUAGUGCAAUUUUUAAGUAGUUUUAGGAGGCCUUUAUUAGCCAAAUGAUGCAAAAGGAAUAACAAAAAAACUACUGAGCAGGGCCAAAUGAAGCUGUAACAUAGCUGAGAGGGUUGGGCUGCAGGUUACGUUAUUCCCAUGCCAUGUGACAUGGAAUGAGCAACUCUGAGGUGUGCUGGUAGUCCCCACUGUAGCCAGGUCUCUUGAAUGCCCUUUUGUCGUAUUUGAAAGGAUAUAACUUCAAACCAAGUAAAACAGCAGAAUAGAUAGAUAACUUCUGAUAUUAAAAUCCUUCAGUCACUGUAUUUAUUACAAAAUACGCAAUAUAUUUUUAAAUUAUACCCCUUAUUUUAAAAAUAUUUUUCUUGAGAAACCCUGCCAGAAGUCAUCAUUACUAUAUGCAAAUAUAUAUUUAGUGCAUAAAUACGUAACACACAAAAUUAUUAUACUUUUCUGAUCAUAAGAUUGCAUUAACACAGCUAAGGCUGCUUACCUGCUUUGAUGCUUCUGCCUGUACAUUGGCUUUGGGCAUGUAACUUUCAGGUGCAGUUUAGCACUAUGCCUUCUGCAUGUUCACAUACCAUCAUAAAGGUGUGCUCUUCCCUUUCCUUUCACAUGUCUCAGUAAGUCCUCAGAACUUACUGCCCUGCUGAAUGAAGUGAGUUGUAAAGCUGUGUACAAGCAAAACAGACCUGGAGAACCAAUACUUGCAGGCAAGUAAUGCACCUCUGAGCACUUACCAGUGCCUGUGGCCCCGUGGUGGGCAAGUCAGCCACCUAAAUUCCUAACAGAGUUAAGAACUGAAUGACAGUCUUCUCAAAGGCAGCAGUCAGAGAGACUUCAGAAGUGGUUCAAUACUUGGUCAAAGCUCCACCUAGGCACUCCACAUGUCUUAGGAAUGCAAAUAUUUUGCAGCACUCUGAUCCUGGUAGGAGGUUCCUUCUUUGUAAUCUUAAAACUAAUCCAAAUCCAAUAAUUUUAUACUGUAGGAUAAUUUCUGCAUUAAAAUAGCAAACUCAUAUAUUUUUCUUAGCCAGCAGAUUUGAAGCUGAAGUAAUUCUGAAAUCUCCACUGUAACUUAUAUAUAUAUUUUAUAUAUAUAUAUAUAUAAAAGAAAUGGCCUGCUAAUAUAAAAAAUAGCAAGACUGGGAUACAGAGGCAAGAAGAUUCAUUCCUUAAUUUAAGUUAUAUACAGCAUUAAAAAAAUUUUAGAUGAGACUUAAGAAAGAUGGUACAUUAAGACAUUAAUCCAUCUACUAUUUCUAGCCAAGAUUUAGUUUCCUGCAAUAUUUUGACAGACAAGUACCAAAAAAAGCUGUCAGGAGCUGAUAUCCUGAUAAUGAUGGUAUAUUGUAUAAGGGCAUCUCAUAUUAGGGGCAAAUUCUGGGACUGCACGCUGACAGCCAUAAUAAUUACUUAAUCCUGCUGGAGUUAAUGGGAUUAUGGCUACCCUUCCUUCUUCUUCCAUUAGAAUAACCUUGUAUAAGAGACAGUUUGAUGGAAGAUGUACAUGUUUCCCAGCUCAGGAGUCAGAAACCCGUGAAGACCCUGAAAACAAACUACCUCUUAAGCAAAAAAACUAGCACUUCCUAUUAAAAGUCAAGACACAAAGCAAACUUGAUGUACACCCUGUCUCAGAAAAGAUUUGAUAAAACAUGGCUCCAUACCUCUCAGCAGGUCACAACAACCGGACCCUUCGGUACUCUGGGUGGAUAAACUGCAGUAGGUCCCAUUGUCCCUGCACUCUCUUGCAUAGUAGAGGCCACCUUGCACCAUCACCGUUGUUGAUAGAAAAUAAGGGAGUGGUAUAUCCCUUUUUUUCCAAAACAUAUGAUCUCAGCUCCUGGCACAGAGCAUUUCACUUGUUCCUCACUGCCCUGAGUUCAAGUAGAUAAACAUGUGGCUGUGCUGUACCAGGGACUGCAGACCCUGCACUUUCACAUUAUCCCAAUGAGAUGCCUAUCCACUACUGCUACUGCAUUUAUGCAGAAAAUGUGGGAACCCUCAGCAGCUGGUCCAAGGUGUGUCCCCCCCAGACUUGUACUAGUUUGCAUGAAGUCUCACAUACUGUGUUAAAUCAGUACAGGGAGCAACAUGCCCCAGAAGAGCUAAACAAACCCAAUGCUGAGACCGCCAAAUUUAUGAACAGGCUUUGCCAUUCCUUGAAAGAAGUCAUGUUGGAGGCAGGGUUUGACAGGAAUAUAGUUUGUUGUUUAACUGAUAGACUUAAGGUUUGCAUGAGAGCCGGUUGUGACUUGGAGAAAUUUAGCAUGAAAUACAGAGAAUAAGGGGUUACUCAUCCCUAUUGCUUUUGAACCAAUGUAGCACCUGAGCUGUGUGUUGGCAUUUUCUCAAAAUGGUGUCAACCUUUGUAUAGUCCCCCUCUUAUCAGUUGCCAUUACAUGGCAAAAUUAACCACUUUAGUCUUGUACUAACAAUGCUACUUUUGUAUUAUGUUUAUUGCAUUAUCUUAUAUAUUGUUCAUAGUCAUGCAUACUCUUGCUUUUUUUUAAUACUGAUGUUUUCCAUGAAAUGCACUUGUGUCAUUUUAAAAAAUCAAUAACCGUAUUAUCUUCAGAUUGCCUCAUGUAUUGUGGCACUGUAAGAAAUGAGGUGUUGGAAAUAAAAUGUUAAGCCACCCAAAGCCACCGCAGUUAAUCAUAUUUAACAUCUGACUAAACUAGGCUCACUCAGAGCUUUUGGUAGAGUCCUGCUUAAGCCAUUCUGUUGUAUUAUGUGAGAGGCCAUUAAUAGCUGCAUUUUCUAUUAAAACUGGAUGUAGUUCUAAGAAGCCAAAGGCUCUGUUGAAGUUUAGGAAUAUUUUGUAUCUUUCAUUUCUCUGAUACAAAAGGUCUUGGAAUGGCUUACCAUUUGUUUUUCUGUGACCUACAGAUAGACUACUGAUCAUAAAUCUAUUUGCUUUUAAUUAGUAUAUUAUCAUGAAAAGCAUAUGAGAGGAGACUGGAGAGAGUACAUCCCGCUGGUCAACCUCCCUAGUGCUGAGUUGCUUUUUAUUUACUCUCUUGAACCUGUAAUGAAAAUGCACGUACUCUACUGCAAUUAAAGUGUUAACUUUCGUCAUCACUAUUCUUAUUUCCGCCACAAAACUGAUGUGAAAACUCAGCUUUUGUGUUGCCUGAAUAACAUAAUUCCCCCAAACAACUCAUACUUCAAGUGGAACAAAAACCCCAACUCUGAAGAGCAAGAAGAGAGCAGAGUAUUAAGGCAGGGUAGGCACCAGUGUGGAGAGCCAGGUUUUUUAUGAAACAGUGGGAUUAGAGACAGAUUUCCAAAGAGUCAAGUACAUCAAUGAAAGGGGACAGAAGCUUAAGGAUGUCCUACUGCAUAUUACUUUAAAAGAUAAAUAUGAUGAAAUUUUCCCUGUGGAAGGCUCAUUAUAAAUCCAUCACAAUCAGAUGUCUCUGCAGAGACGACCAGCAUAAAGAGACAGCCUGGCUUUCCUCAAUCAAGUCAAAAAGGAAUAAAUAUGCUUCACCUCUGAGACACUCUAAAUGAAUACAAAAAUAACAUAAUUUUAAACUGAACUCUGGAUAUACCUAUGUACUCUUGAGAGAAAUACGGGUUUCAGUGUUGUCUCCCUGAGAAUUCUUUUAGCUUUGACUACACGCCUUGUAAAUAGGUUCACAUAAAAAACGAUGCAUCUUUGCUUACUCUGUGUAAACAAAACUAGUCCAUGUGGUUGACAACAGUUUUGCUUAUAUGUGUGUAAGAUUUCUAUUGACAGCUUUGUUUCCAAGUGCCACAGAAAGACUGGGAAAGCUGUCCAUUUUUCUUGUUUAGUAAGGCAAUCUUAGAGACUUUUAGGAUCAGAAAUAGUUUUCUUGCUUUGUAUUGGUGAGUGUAAAUCAAUAUUGAUACAAAAUACAACUACUGCCAUAGUGAAAAGUAAGGAAAGUGUAAGCAAGCCUUUUCAUUUUCAGGAACACAACCACAAAACAUCUCAAGCAGCAGUUUCC
This is a long non-coding RNA of Chiroxiphia lanceolata (lance-tailed manakin), 4621 nucleotides long. RefSeq lists it as uncharacterized. The record is from RefSeq and is a predicted model, not a curated record. The transcript has 5 exons. Lineage: Eukaryota; Metazoa; Chordata; Aves; Passeriformes; Pipridae.